RNAcentral lists this transfer RNA (69 nucleotides) under Curculionoidea sp. 23 KM-2017. RNAcentral describes it as "tRNA-Ser". The record is from RNAcentral. Lineage: Eukaryota; Metazoa; Arthropoda; Insecta; Coleoptera.
AGUUAAUGAACUUGUAAUAAGUAUAUGUUUUGAAAGCAUAAAAAAGAAAUCUCAAUUUUCUAUUAACUU